Pangasianodon gigas (Mekong giant catfish) is the source of this 66-nucleotide non-coding RNA. The record is from the annotation of a GenBank genome assembly. Lineage: Eukaryota; Metazoa; Chordata; Actinopteri; Siluriformes; Pangasiidae.
UGGAGAACUAGUGGUUAGGCCACAGCACUCUCACUGCUGUGACAUGGGUUCAAUUCCCGGUCCCAA